AUUGAACGCUGGCGGCAUGCCUUACACAUGCAAGUCGAACGGUAACAGGUCUUCGGAUGCUGACGAGUGGCGAACGGGUGAGUAAUACAUCGGAACGUGCCUAGUAGUGGGGGAUAACUACUCGAAAGAGUGGCUAAUACCGCAUGAGAUCUACGGAUGAAAGCAGGGGAUCGCAAGACCUUGUGCUACUAGAGCGGCCGAUGGCAGAUUAGGUAGUUGGUGGGAUAAAAGCUUACCAAGCCGGCGAUCUGUAGCUGGUCUGAGAGGACGAUCAGCCACACUGGGACUGAGAAACGGCCCAGACUCCUACGGGAGGCAGCAGUGGGGAAUUUUGGACAAUGGGCGCAAGCCUGAUCCAGCAAUGCCGCGUGCAGGAUGAAGGCCUUCGGGUUGUAAACUGCUUUUGUACGGAACGAAAAGCCCCGGGUUAAUGCCCUGGGGUCAUGACGGUACCGUAAGAAUAAGCACCGGCUAACUACGUGCCAGCAGCCGCAGUAA
RNAcentral lists this ribosomal RNA (498 nucleotides) under uncultured bacterium. Its description in RNAcentral is "partial 16S ribosomal RNA". It matches the Rfam family "Bacterial small subunit ribosomal RNA", at positions 30 to 523 of the family's 1533-position model. The record is from RNAcentral.